This 408-nucleotide ribosomal RNA is filed under the name uncultured bacterium. Its description in RNAcentral is "partial 16S ribosomal RNA". It matches the Rfam family "Bacterial small subunit ribosomal RNA", at positions 28 to 526 of the family's 1533-position model. The record is from RNAcentral.
GACGAACGCUGGCGGCGUGCUUAACACAUGCAAGUCGAACGAAGUGGCGAACGGGUGAGUAACGCGUAAUCAACCUGCCCUUCAGAGGGGGACAACAGUUGGAAACGACUGCUAAUACCGCAUAAUGAAGGAGGGGAGUGCGGCGGAUUAGCUCGUGGGAGGGGUAACGGCCCACCAAGGCGAUGAUCAGUAGCCUGUCUGAGAGGAUGAACGGCCACAUUGGGACUGAGACACGGCCCAGACUCCUACGGGAGGCAGCAGUGGGGAAUCUUCCGCAAUGGACGAAAGUCUGACGGAGCAACGCCGCGUGAGUGAUGACGGCCUUCGGGUUGUAAAGCUCUGUUAAUCGGGACGCGGUACCGGAAUAGAAAGCCACGGCUAACUACGUGCCAGCAGCCGCGGUAAUUC